UUACAAAUUUAGGUUGUGUCGGUCGGGUUGUAAGAUUUAAAAUCUAAAAUUAUCUAAAUUUUAAAUGGAUUGGGUCGAGUAGGAUCAGGUCUAAAUUCAGUAAACCCAAACACAACCCAAAAAAUAGAACGAGUCUAAUUUUAAGAUCCGACCUGGCCCCAGGGUCCUCCAAAAUGGAUCAGAUCAAGUCUAAGCGGGUCGGGU
RNAcentral lists this long non-coding RNA (204 nucleotides) under Phoenix dactylifera (date palm). RNAcentral describes it as "long non-coding RNA (PDAC_LNC011474)". Lineage: Eukaryota; Viridiplantae; Streptophyta; Magnoliopsida; Arecales; Arecaceae. The record is from RNAcentral.